AUUGAACGCUGGCGGCAGGCUUAACACAUGCAAGUCGAACGGGGUGAUGGUGCUUGCACUAUCACUUAGCGGCGGACGGGUGAGUAAUGCUUAGGAAUCUGCCUAUUAGUGGGGGACAACAUCUCGAAAGGGAUGCUAAUACCGCAUACGUCCUACGGGAGAAAGCAGGGGAUCACUUGUGACCUUGCGCUAAUAGAUGAGCCUAAGUCGGAUUAGAUAGUUGGUGGGGUAAAGGCCUACCAAGGCGACGAUCUGUAGCGGGUCUGAGAGGAUGAUCCGCCAAACUGGGACUGAGGCACGGCCCAGACUCCUACGGGAGGCAGCAGUGGGGAAUAUUGGACAAUGGGCGCAAGCCUGAACCAGGCAAGCCGCGUGUGUGAAGAAGGCCUUAUGGUUGUAAAGCACUUUAAGCGAGGAGGAGGCUACUUUAGUUAAUACCUAGAGAUAGUGGACGUUACUCGCAGAAUAAGCACCGGCUAACUCUGUGCCAGCCGCCGCUGUAA
This 503-nucleotide ribosomal RNA is filed under the name uncultured bacterium. RNAcentral's name for it is "partial 16S ribosomal RNA". It matches the Rfam family "Bacterial small subunit ribosomal RNA", at positions 30 to 523 of the family's 1533-position model. The record is from RNAcentral.